RNAcentral lists this ribosomal RNA (106 nucleotides) under Mesocricetus auratus (golden hamster). Lineage: Eukaryota; Metazoa; Chordata; Mammalia; Rodentia; Cricetidae. The record is from RNAcentral.
GUCUACGGUCAUACCACCCUUAAUGCGCCCUAUCUCGUCUGAUCUCGGAAGCUAAGCAGGGUCGGGCCUGGUUAGUACUUGGAUGGGAGACAAUGCCUGCCUGACC